GACGAACGCUGGCGGCGCGCCUAACACAUGCAAGUCGAACGAGAGAGAAGGAGCUUGCUUCUUCGAUCGAGUGGCGAACGGGUGAGUAACGCGUGAGGAACCUGCCUCAAAGAGGGGGACAACAGUUGGAAACGACUGCUAAUACCGCAUAAGCCCACGGGUCGGCAUCGACCAGAGGGAAAAGGAGCAAUCCGCUUUGAGAUGGCCUCGCGUCCGAUUAGCUAGUUGGUGAGGUAAUGGCCCACCAAGGCGACGAUCGGUAGCCGGACUGAGAGGUUGAACGGCCACAUUGGGACUGAGACACGGCCCAGACUCCUACGGGAGGCAGCAGUGGGGAAUAUUGCACAAUGGGGGAAACCCUGAUGCAGCGACGCCGCGUGGAGGAAGAAGGUCUUCGGAUUGUAAACUCC
RNAcentral lists this ribosomal RNA (410 nucleotides) under uncultured bacterium. RNAcentral describes it as "bacterial SSU rRNA". It matches the Rfam family "Bacterial small subunit ribosomal RNA", at positions 28 to 433 of the family's 1533-position model. The record is from RNAcentral.